CGUCCCUCCUAACCGUUUGAAUUUCACGAAAAAACCAUCCGCUCACCCUACGUAAAAUACAGUAGUGGCCGCUUCCGAAAACAGCCACGCCGCCGGUCGUGCGACGUUAUCCGAUUUUCACUCUUCCGGUACAAGUAUAUUGCGUAUACGCCGACAAAUUAAAAAGAUACGGACAUGCUUCGCGCGAUUGGCGGGCCACUGUUAUAGGUGAAAAGUUCGCAGGGUAGGACAUAGAGAGGAAUUUAAUGUAUACCGUCUGCACGCGAAUAAUAAUCUUUGCUAACGAAAAACGAUUCUGAGCGGAGUUCGGAUGUACUGCGUGUUUUAAAAGGCCGUAGUAUUAACGAUUU
Cinara cedri is the source of this 350-nucleotide non-coding RNA. NCBI's taxonomy places the organism in Eukaryota, Metazoa, Arthropoda, Insecta, Hemiptera, Aphididae. The record is from the annotation of a GenBank genome assembly.